This 1588-nucleotide long non-coding RNA is filed under the name Astyanax mexicanus (Mexican tetra). RNAcentral's name for it is "lncRNA (ENSAMXG00005013556.1)". The record is from RNAcentral. Lineage: Eukaryota; Metazoa; Chordata; Actinopteri; Characiformes; Acestrorhamphidae.
ACUCGAAUGAGAGUUUUCAGAAAUCCUAAAUUGAAUAGAUCUGGUAUCACAAGCAGAGAUAAACUGCAGCUGCAGCUUCGCCUGAGGAACCCAGGGUCUGAACUUCUUGUUUGAGCCACAGAAGCUGGAACUUUUUCUGUGGACAAUAAGUCAGGAUGUCAGAUAUUUCUGUGAAUGACCACCUUGAGGGGAUAUUGUCUGAUUUUGAGGCCCUGAAGAGAUCCUUUGAUAUUGAUGAUGUCGAUGAGAUCCCGACGUUCUCGCCGACCUCCUCAGUCACAUCCCCCAUCAGCCCAAGCUCCAUUCUCAGCAAAGCCAAUGACGUGCGCAGUGGGGUCAACCACAUGUCCCCGACAUACCGCUCACGGAUAAGCCUGAGUUCCAGUCCUGCUCAAAGCCCUGCCAUGAAGAACAGGAUGGUUUCCAGUCUGUCCUUUAAUCGAGGGACCAUGGGAAAGCCUACUGUCAACUCUAACAUCGGGAUCAACCGUGCAGCCUCCUUCCAGAACAGAUUCAAUCCCAACGGCUUUAAUUCCUGUUCAGGGCCUGGCAGUGACAAUGACAGCCUUCAUAGUUCCUCCUCCAGUCUGGAAUACCAGGCAUCGUCCAAAUUGAGCUCCUACACCAGCCCACCACAAAGUCCAAUGGGGGUUGGUGACUACAAAGCCCAGCGUUUGGGAAGCCCUGCUUUGAAGAAGUUUUCCUCUCAUGGGAAUGUGUUCCACUCAGAGCUUGAGGGCCCACUAGUGAUCCCAACUGAGCCGUUGGGUAUUAGCCAUGGCUCCAUGCCCUCGCUGGACCUCCAGAUGGCUGAGAGUGGAGGAAUGAGGCAAGUCGUGUCUCCUGUGUUAUCAAGAUUCCCUAAUGCUCCUGUUACCUGGAACGCACAUCGUCUCCAGAACCACAGCACAAUUGGCAAGGAUCCCUCUUCCAUCAACCAUCAGCCUCCUAAAACCAAGGAGCCUGCUCGACUCAACAAGUUCCCACUUGAUCUUGACAACCUUGUGGUGAAACCCCAGUCUCCUGAUGUGUCUGUGGCACCAAAACCUCCACCAAGGUUCCACCCUGUGUCUCCGAGCCCCACUGUGUCUGCCAGCCCUUCUGCUUCCGUCAGCAGCUUGGACAGCACUGAUCUUCCCCUGGUUCACAGCUACACUACAGAGAAACGUGAGCCUGUCACCCCUACAGGAGCAAUUCCAGUUCCCAACAUCAGUGAAUCUCCUGUCUUGCUCUCCCCCGCCCAGACACCGCUCUUCAAUCUGGUUUCUAAGCCUCAGGUUGUCCAGAUCGCUCCUGCUACAUCGCCACAACCCACACAAGUCAACAUUGUGAGCAGUACAUCACGUAGUGAGUCUCCGGCCAAGGACAGCGUGGGCUCCAUUCUCCAGAGGAUUGCCAGUUUCUCCAGAGUUGAAGCCAGAGUGCCAAUGCCAAGCCCAAGUCCUGUCACAUCUUUAAGCAAUGGAAUCAAGAGAGAGUCUCCAGCUGUACAACAUAAGGAGCUGAAGAGAUCAGAAGCGUGCUUCUCUCUCUGAUACUGAUACAGUACGCCGGGGUGUCUAUAACAGCCCACGAGACCUGUAACGAG